GUUUCCUUCAUUUUCUUUGUAACAUUUCACUAUGUAUUUCUAAACAUUUAGCUAGAGCUAAGGGUGAAACUUUGAUGAAUGUUUAGUAUUGUCUUUGAUCUUUCAUUUUGUUCUUCAAUUUUCAUCUUCUUACUUGGUUGAAGUUUGUGUUCUACAAAUGGUUUUGGUUUGUUAAAGACUUUGAUUUAUUGUUGACAAUUUUGGCACAAUAAAUGCUUAGAUAAUCUCUACAUACCAACAACUUAUUUUGACAUAUUCUCUCAAACAAUUAUCAAGAUCUAUCUUUUAAUAUAUUUGUGGUUAAUGUUUUAUCUUCCAUAUGAGAUCAAUCCUUAGUUGAUUUUCAUAUGAGUUAAAUUAAAGAUCAAGUGCAAUUUCUACUCAUUUAUCCAAAGUGAAUCCCCGAUGCUCUAGUGUUCGUCUCAAUCGUAUUUCCACCAACCGUUCAUUACUCAUAGAAUAGUUUAUUUCCUUCCAAUUCCCUGUGGUUCGACCUCGGACUUCCGAGAUUUACUACUUGCGACAACCUG
This 530-nucleotide long non-coding RNA is filed under the name Olea europaea subsp. europaea. Lineage: Eukaryota; Viridiplantae; Streptophyta; Magnoliopsida; Lamiales; Oleaceae. The record is from RNAcentral.